This 423-nucleotide ribosomal RNA is filed under the name uncultured bacterium. RNAcentral's name for it is "partial 16S ribosomal RNA". It matches the Rfam family "Bacterial small subunit ribosomal RNA", at positions 359 to 774 of the family's 1533-position model. The record is from RNAcentral.
GAAUAUUGGACAAUGGGCGAAAGCCUGAUCCAGCCAUGCCGCGUGUGUGAAGAAGGUCUUCGGAUUGUAAAGCACUUUAUGUUGGGAGGAAGGGCAGUAAGCGAAUACCUUUCUGUUUUGGCGUUACCGCAAGAAUAAGCGGCGGACAACUCCGUGCCAGCAGCCGCGGUAAUCCAGAGGGUGCAAGCGUUAAUCGGAAUUUCUGUGGGUAAAGCGCGCGUAGGGGGUUCGUUAAGUGGGAUGUGAAAUCCCCGGGCUCAACCUGGGAACUGCAUCCAAAACUGGCGAGCUAGAGUAGGGCAGAGGGUGGUGGAAUUUCCUGUGUAGCGGUGAAAUGCGUAGAUAUAGGAAGGAACACCAGUGGCGAAGGCGACCACCUGGGCUCAUACUGACACUGAGGUGCGAAAGCGUGGGGAGCAAACA